UUUUCCCCACUUUGAGCCUGAAGCCCUUCUUUGGACACCCACUUCUUAGCCACUACCCUUUUUAGUGCUUACAUGUACUAUCCUUCUCUUGGCCCAACCUUCUUGAGUGCACCAAAAAUGUGCAAAUUAUAAGAGAAGAUCCAUGUUUGAAGUUACCAAAGGCAAAAGAUACAAAGUCUCCCAAAGUUGAGGAAAAAAAAAACUACUUCUAGAAAAAAGAAAAAAAAAAGGUGGAAAGAAAUAAAGAAAGUCAAAAACACCCCUACAAGGACAAUGAAAGACGAG
This 285-nucleotide long non-coding RNA is filed under the name Solanum tuberosum (potato). RNAcentral's name for it is "long non-coding RNA (STUB_LNC002927)". The record is from RNAcentral. Lineage: Eukaryota; Viridiplantae; Streptophyta; Magnoliopsida; Solanales; Solanaceae.